AGGAUCCUGCAUGAGACAGUUCAUACCGAGAGCUACAAUUGCUAUGUUCUGUUUUUUAAUCAAGGAGGAUCCAAGUGAAGCGACAGGAGUUUCAUUAACGUCAAUAACUUGGACCGAACAUUUUGUUUUGCUUAAUGAAGAGCAGGAAGGGCAGCCUGGAGAGAAAGAGAAGCCGGGUUGAGCCAACUACCAUCAUCCACGUACCACGAGGAAGAUGAGGGAGAGAAAUGAUCCUACCAUUAAAGAGACUGUGAAAAGAGCGUUGAGAACAUCACCACUCUACAGGAAGACACAGUCCAGUAAUGGGUGUCAGAAGUUCAGUAGUGAACGACAGGAAGGACUGAUGCAUUUACUGAGACGGGACGUGAGGACCUACUCUGCGUGCUCAGAGUUUAAGCCCAGCAGGCUGCAGCGGGCCUGACAUAUUCCGGAACAGUAGCACAGUCUUUGGAUGACUCCUCUGAAGAUGAAAACAUGGCGAGGUACUUCUCCACUGAUGAAGAAUUGUGAGGGCUGUGAUUAGCUACACUCUCUUGCUACAAGGCUACUCUUGCUACUCCCUGGCAGCCUUAGGAAGGCAUUAGCUUGCUGUUGGGUAGCUGUUAGCUUCAGCAUUUUUUGUUUUUAGCGGCCUGUCUGACGUUUAUGUUUAAAAAAAAAAAUCAGAGGGAACCAUCUUCAUAAUUUAACGUCCUUCCGUUCUUCUCAAGAGAAGCAGUACAGGUGUGCCUCAGCUCCACGGUCCCUCCUGCAGCGUCCGCUCCUGAGGCUAACCUCAUGUCGCCAUCACACCAAGCAGCAGACCUGGAUUGACAGACCUUUCUCCAGAGCUGCCCCCUCCCUCUGAAACCCCCCUCUCCAAAAAACUAUUUGUGGCGUUUUUAUAAGUAUUAUUUGCAUGAGAAUUGUUGAUCAUAACAUUUCCAGCAGAUGCCUUAAUGUAAUGUUU
This is a long non-coding RNA of Platichthys flesus (European flounder), 949 nucleotides long. RefSeq lists it as uncharacterized. NCBI's taxonomy places the organism in Eukaryota, Metazoa, Chordata, Actinopteri, Pleuronectiformes, Pleuronectidae. The transcript has 3 exons. The record is from RefSeq and is a predicted model, not a curated record.